Molecule: long non-coding RNA, 416 nt
Organism: Salvelinus namaycush (lake trout)
Lineage: Eukaryota; Metazoa; Chordata; Actinopteri; Salmoniformes; Salmonidae
Exons: 3
Source: RefSeq, a predicted model, not a curated record
CUGACGAUAGCAAAGAUUAUAGCAAACACCACAGAAACAGAAUUGGUGCUCGCUAGCUCUGCAAAUUCAGCUAUUGUUGGAAGCCAGCCAAUAUAAAACAUAAACUAUAUUAAAAUUACAAAAGGUUGCAGCAUACGUUGUGUAAAUGGUGAACUCAUACAGCUGUCAACCCUUGUCACUGCAAUCCGUUUCACAUUUGCUAGCUGACUAGCUAGCUUCCUUUUAGAUCGAAGCCAUCUAGAAUGAUAGAUGCCCAUCUCCUACUGUAAAUAACCUGCACACUGUGCGUGUGUAGCCAGCCAGCCAGGUAGAAAAAUGGCAGAAAAAAGACGGACAUCAAGAGUAUUUUUCAGUACACCAAAACGCAAAGCAGAGCAGGCAACAGAUGGCACACAGACAGCAGAGCUAGGGACAGA